AGCGCAGGCGGGAGAACAAGUUGGAAGUGGAAUCCAUGGGCUCAACCCAUGAACUGCUUUCAAAACUGUUUUUCUUGAGUAGUGCAGAGGUAGGCGGAAUUCCCGGUGUAGCGGUGGAAUGCGUAGAUAUCGGGAGGAACACCAGUGGCGAAGGCGGCCUACUGGGCACCAACUGACGCUGAGGCUCGAAAGUGUGGGUAGCAAACA
This 207-nucleotide ribosomal RNA is filed under the name uncultured bacterium. Its description in RNAcentral is "partial 16S ribosomal RNA". It matches the Rfam family "Bacterial small subunit ribosomal RNA", at positions 568 to 774 of the family's 1533-position model. The record is from RNAcentral.